This 432-nucleotide ribosomal RNA is filed under the name uncultured bacterium. Its description in RNAcentral is "partial 16S ribosomal RNA". It matches the Rfam family "Bacterial small subunit ribosomal RNA", at positions 29 to 506 of the family's 1533-position model. The record is from RNAcentral.
AACGAACGCUGGCGGCAUGCCUAACACAUGCAAGUCGAACGAGACCUUCGGGUCUAGUGGCGCACGGGUGCGUAACGCGUGGGAACCUGCCCUUAGGUUCGGAAUAACUCCCCGAAAGGGGUGCUAAUACCGGAUAAUGUCUUCGGACCAAAGAUUUAUCGCCUUUGGAUGGGCCCGCGUUGGAUUAGCUAGUUGGUAGGGUAAAAGCCUACCAAGGCGACGAUCCAUAGCUGGUCUGGGAGGAUGAUCAGCCACACUGGGACUGAGACACGGCCCAGACUCCUACGGGAGGCAGCAGUGGGGAAUAUUGGACAAUGGGCGAAAGCCUGAUCCAGCAAUGCCGCGUGAGUGAUGAAGGCCUUAGGGUUGUAAAGCUCUUUUACCCGGGAUGAUAAUGACAGUACCGGGAGAAUAAGCUCCGGCUAACUCCGU